Molecule: long non-coding RNA, 2912 nt
Organism: Oncorhynchus tshawytscha (Chinook salmon)
Lineage: Eukaryota; Metazoa; Chordata; Actinopteri; Salmoniformes; Salmonidae
Exons: 5
Source: RefSeq, a predicted model, not a curated record
CUGUUAUGUGUUACAACACAACCAGAACCAUACAGCAACACCUAUAGAAACCGAUCAAGACCCGACUAAGCUUUAAUAAAUUACUGAUUUGCCGAAUCAGUCGUUUGCGUUGUUUGAACAUCGCUAACUAGCUUGCUAACGUUAGUUCGCCUGAACUGCUCAUUGGAUGGAUAGAGAGCUAUUCGUUGUCGAGUCUAUUGUGACUAACUUGUAUUUUCCUAUAUUGGCCGUGUGUAUUUGACAGCUAAUCUGGAAAGUGAUAUAAUAUUGUGUGGUUGUAGUACGAAUAUUCAUUUCAUAACAAGUUGCUAAUUUCUGUGAAAUCGUGGCUGCUACAGGGUCCUGACUAGUUACCACAGCCACAAAGUUAUGGCUAAACCCCACAUAGUUCUACAGUUUAUGUUCCUAACCGUAACCCUAAUUUAACAACACUGCUAACCUUAAUUAUAGCCCUAAUCUUAAAUUAAGGAACAAUGUCAGCAUUGCUGGUUUGGCAAAAAAGGUAGGUGUAUAAAACAGUAUCUUGCAGGAUUCAACCGUUGGAAUUGUAAGAGUUGUUGCCCUGUCCCUGUGGACUUUCGAUCACCAUAAAGACAAUGCACAAUACAGUAAUUGAUUGACUACAUUGACACAUCAACUGUUUUGUGAUGUGAUGAUGUGGAUCAGUUGGUAGUAGAGAAUUAUGCUUUUAACUCUAGGCUUGUGGGUUCAAUUCCCACGGGGGACCAGUAUGAAAUGCAUGCCCUCACUACUGUAAAUUGCUUUGGAUAAGGGUGUCUACUAAAUUGUAAAACGACUGAUAGAAAUAAGUUGCAUUUGCAAAGUAUUUCAAGAAACUGGAAAAUAAAUAUCAAGCAAGUAUUUAUAUAUUCCACAAGUAUUAACUGUUUUGCACAGAUAAUUAACAGACUGAAGUUACACAUGCUGGUAAACACUCAAAUACAUUUAGUUAACCUUUUUUCACAAAAGUAGUGCAUUAGUCCCGUGUUCGUCCUGCAGCACCCCCACCCCCAAACUACUUCCCGAAGCUAUGUUGACUAAACGUGUUCUUUCUCUUCAGGCUACCCUCUAUAACAUGAUGCAGUUUUGCUUGUGUAUAAUAAUCUAUUUUCGAAAAAGAGUCCAUUGUUUUAUUGUAGUAUGGUUAUGUUAACAUUGUAAACUGAAUGAAAAACACUGCUAGUCUAGACAUGUAUUGUAGGGAUAGUUUAUUGGAGGAUCACAAUUCAACAUGUCAACAACCAUACUUGACAACAUGAAUUCAGAUCAUUAUCAUCUAUCCACUAAUUUAAGCAAUCAUCUGUCUUGUAUCUGGAUGGAUGGAUAGAUGGAGGGAGAGAGGGAUGGAAAUGUAGCAUAUGUAGCAGCCUUCUUUAACAUAUGCUUGGGAGAUAAAUCUGUCACAUGACCUUCAUCUCCAAGGAAGCAGAUUAGCAAGAACUAAUCUGAUUUCACAAAUGCAUGUCUAGACUGAGCUCCCAGCAGACUGUGGCUCCUGCCAAGCUCCAGGAUAUCGAAGGAGAGGGGAUGUAGUGUGGAGAGAUGGAGCUCAUUAACUUCUUCAGGAUUGGUGGGACGGUUGAGCUAACAUAGGCUAAUGCGAUUAGCAUGAGGUUACCCUUCUCUAUUGGCCACGAGAGACUGAGGGGAUGAGAAGAGAAACUGAUUCGUGGAUAUGCAACUGGAGAGGUCUUCUAUGACUCUAGCCAAGAUUCCCCCUGUCUACAGGAGUCUGAUCAUUUGUGGACACAGCCACUCUACUCGGUGGAAGGGGACAUAUGUCUGAAGGUGGUAGAGAAUGGAAAACAUAAAUUUAACUUGGCAAGUCAGUUAAGAACAAAUUCUUAUUUACAAUGACGGCCUACUCCGGCCAAAUCCAGACAGCGCUGGGCCAAUUGUGCACCACCCUAUGGGACUCCCAAUCACAACUGGAUGUGAUACAGCCGGGAUUCAAACCAGGGACUGUAGUGACACCCCUUGCACUGCGAUGCAGUGCCUUAGACCCCUGCACCACUCAGGAGCUUGUGCGUAUCCACAAGGCACCGACAUUUCUGCUCCCAGCUCGGAUCCCCCACUCCCCCCAGAGACUGGAUAACACUGUGGGGCUGGUGUUGGAGAGAAGGAGGCUUCAUUCAAAGACUUAAGGUUUAAGGUACCACCAUCCACCAUGCCUUCUUCUUACACACAUCUCACACCUCACAUCCCCUUGACCCCCCUACGAGAGAGAGAGAGAGAGAAAGAAAGAGAGAGAGAGAAAGAAAGAAAUCAUGCCUCUGUGGUUUCAGGUAAUGUGUGGAUGACACUACAGACAUUUUGAGAGGGUUUUACUGUGAAAACCUGAGGACCCAGUUGGUGCCAGUGAUUCAAAAGUGAGACGCAUGUCAUUGAGUUUAGUCCGGCAUUAAACAGAACACUUUUUUUGUGAACAUUAGUGCUCGGCAGGGAAUACUCAGCGGAUGCUGUGGUCCUCAGUUUUUUUUGCGUCGGAGCAGCACAGAACAGGCAAGUUAAACCCAGGUGACUCCCCCUCUCACAAAGAGACAAUGGGAAAGGUGGGCUUCAGUAGGUGUUGCACACUACUUUUAUGUUUUGUGUGGUUUUACAUCGGGUUUGUGGAUAUUUUGCUGUGCAAGUGUGUCCCACGACACGAGAACCCUGUUGGCCAAUGUGCUAUCAUUUUCUGUCUGUCUAGACUUCAGACAGCCUCAGAACACCUUGCAUGUGAUGACCCCCUUCCACUUCAGAGACUGAGUGGAAAAACAGCGUCCCUCCCUGGCCAGCUGACACCCCAUCUGCAUGUUCAGGGCCCAGUUUGAGACAGAGGUGACCCUGGAAUAUCUGGAAUGAUGACUUUUUCAGUUUUUUAUUUGUUAAAAGAGUUUGAAAUAUCCAAUAAAUGUCGUUCCACUUCA